Molecule: long non-coding RNA, 948 nt
Organism: Triticum dicoccoides
Lineage: Eukaryota; Viridiplantae; Streptophyta; Magnoliopsida; Poales; Poaceae
Exons: 6
Source: RefSeq, a predicted model, not a curated record
CAAGCACUUUCGACGAAAAUUAGUUGUCAUUUUGCUCGAUUCAGAACAGAAUAAGCUAAAAUGAUGUCCAAUAUACCAUCAACCAGACAUUAAAGACAAACAUCCUAGCCCAAUCCCCAACAUGCCCACGGAUCAAUGUGAAUUGCUUGUCGGCCUUUGCAACUAUAUCAUGUCCAUUGAUGAUGCCAAGUGUUUGGAAAAAGAAUGGGACCGAAGCUCGACACCCCGUCCAAUGGGCUUAAGUCUCAAAAAACUUCAAAGCAUACUUAACAUGGAGCAGUCUAUGGACAAUGAUUGUUUCAAUAUUGCUGUGCGUAUUCUGGCAUGCGACGAGGGAGUAUUGUUCACAGACCCUCCAAUACACUACAUGGAUCUACAAUUUUGUUCCAUGCUGUGGGAUUCAACACGAGAGUCAAAAGUUUUUGCGAUAAGGAAACUAUUCAGAAGUUGGCAACUUUGUUUGAUAGCUGGCAUGGGAUAGACAACAACAAAAUAUCGUGCAACAUGAUUUAUCUUCCAUAUGAAUCCAUCGUCGAUACAUCUUGUACGUCAUCGAAAAAGAGGCAUGUCAUGUAUCUAUUCUGGAUCCUAUUCGUACAAUACAAACGACGGAGAUGAAAAUUUUGAGGCACUUAGUGAAAUUAAAAAGUUUUGCGAGGGAAUUCAAAGAAGCACUCGAAAUAAAGCAACCAGGAUGGCAUUCUGAUAUAUCAAAAUGCGAACGUGUAUUUCCUAAUGGUAUUCCAACGAGCAUAGACGGGGAUUUGUCAGGUUUUUAUGUCUUUCAUUUUAUGCUCUGGUGAAACGGUAAAGACCUUGUGCAACCGGUUUGUGCGGAUGGGUAUGAGUUGAGGAAGCGGUUUUUAUUAUACUUGCUCAAACAUCGUGCGAAUGAAGCUAAAGACAACUUGCCUGAUAUUGUACGAGAAUUUCUUAAGCGCAUCAAGU